AAUGAAGCUUUAAUCAGCUGUGUGUUUUAGACACCUAUUUAUUUUAAUAAUAACCUCUAUUAAUAUGAUUUCAGUUUUAAAUUUUGUUGGGGGUAUUUUGUAGUUAAAACAUUAAACAUUAAGACAAUGUUAUUAAGUAAGGUAUCUUUAACACCUUCAGUUUCUAACAAGAAACAUGUUAGCCCCAAUUUCAAAUCUGAGGUGGAUGUCUCUCCAAAUCUUAACACGAGUGAGGAAGAAGAAGAACUUUUGGGUCAAGAUGUAAGAAAACACUGGGAGAUUGGUCCAUUAUUAUUUGCUGCUCCUUAUCAUGACAUAGACUUCACCAGUCCAGCUUGUCAGUUCUACUAUCUCCAGUACGCAUGCAAUGGAUUACCUGACCGCCAACUAGUGGGUCCGGUGAGACAGGCUUAUUAUCAAGUACUUGCGAGACUUAACCAUUCAGAACUUCAAGUGAAGAAUUUUAUAUUGCCAGUACAACUUAUGAAAUUAAAAUAUAUUGAUCCCUACUCACGGCAAAGAAUUAUAGAAAAUAUAUGUCGAUAUCUAAGUUUACAGACAUGUCUGAGGAGUGUUGUGCUAGAAGAGGCCGAAAUCACAUUUGCUGAUUUGUGCAGAUUCCUCCUGGCUCUCAAUGUCAAUUCUCACAUCAGAAAGCUUUAUCUCUGGGGUGUCUUAAAGAAGUGUGAGACUCCUUUCACUGGCCCCUUGCAAAGUGACACAGAUCUUGAUAAUUUACCUCGAAUCCCAUACACUUACAAUCCUGGAGGCCGAAAAUACCUAAAAAAACUAGCAGCACUAAAAUAUGAGGAGAUGUUAAUAGACAAGGUGUCGCUAAAGGACUUUCACAGGACUAUAAAAGAUUCUUGGAGAAUCACAAAUGUUUUGAGAGCUUGGAUGGGAAAUCUACUAAAUGCUUGUGUUAACAACUCAAAUCAAAUGUUAGACCCAAAAUUAUCUACAAUUGAAAAUUAUAACAAAUUGUUGAGAACUCUGAAUGAGCUACCAGACUCAAGAAAACAUGUAUUUUUUCAGAAAGAAGUUGGAAUCCAGUGUUGUAUUUCACAAGAUGGUGGAGUGGGAAGUGGUUCAUCGGAUAAUGGUUUACACAAGCCAUCCACAAGUGGAUCAGUAGGGAAAGAUGUAAUCGACUUUUGCAGAAAUUAUCUCAAAAUUCAUGAAAACAAUAAGAUUGAUAUCGGAAUAUUGAGAGAAAUAUACAAGUUGGCAUUGACUGGGCUGACCAACAUCACAACACUGUCAAUGAACUACAGUCUCCUGGCCGAUGGCACCGGAGAGACCCUGUUGUCGAUCGGGAGUUUGGUUAAGGGCAAACUGAGGAACUUGGAAUUGCUGUGUGAAAAGAGAGAGGCUCCUUCGUCAGCACAUUUGCUGUAUCAACAGGAUGCCUGUCAUGCAAUUCCUGAUCUUAUCUGGAAACAAGUCAUUAAAGCAGUGUCCAUAUUUAAAAGUUCACCUUGUCUGUGUGUCCAUCUCCACCUACGAUUACUUGAAACUGUUUAUCACCAAGUCAAUGCCUCUCAAGAGCCUCCAUAUUGAUAAUGGUUUUUGUCCCACCUUGGACAUGCCACAAUUGAUGUUCUUCAGUGUCCUCAAGUUUUUAUACCUUAAUUUUAAAGAAACUUUAGAGGAGGUUAGUUUUCUGUUAUGGCAUUCAUCUGGAAGAAUUGACAGUGAGCUUGAAAAGUUCAUAAAGGAGGCACCACAUUUAAGUCAUUUUGAAUAUUAUGGACCAUUACAGUACAAGUCCACUAUAAGCAAA
This is an RNA transcript of Homalodisca vitripennis (glassy-winged sharpshooter), 1783 nucleotides long. RefSeq lists it as uncharacterized. NCBI's taxonomy places the organism in Eukaryota, Metazoa, Arthropoda, Insecta, Hemiptera, Cicadellidae. The transcript has 8 exons. The record is from RefSeq and is a predicted model, not a curated record.